CCUACGGGAGACAGCAGUAGGGAAUAUUGCUCAAUGGGGGCAACCCUGAAGCAGCAACGCCGCGUGGAGGAUGAAGGUUUUAGGAUUGUAAACUCCUUUUGUGAGAGAAGAUAAUGACGGUAUCCCACGAAUAAGCACCAGCUAACUCCGUGCCAGCAGCCGCGGUAAUACGGAGGGUGCAAGCGUUACUCGGAAUCACUGGGCGUAAAGGGGGCGCAGGCGGGGUUGGAAGUCAGAUGUGAAAUCCUGUAGCUGAACUACAGAACUGCAUUUGAAACUAUGAGUCUAGAGUUUUGGAGAGGUAGGUCGAAUUCUUUGUGUAGCGGUCCAAUCCGUAGAUAUCACGAGGAAUACUCAUUGCGACGGCGACCUACUGGAACAUUACUGACGCUCAUGCACGAAAGCGUGGGGAGCAAACAGGAUUAGCUACCCUUGUAGUC
This 440-nucleotide ribosomal RNA is filed under the name uncultured bacterium. RNAcentral's name for it is "partial 16S ribosomal RNA". It matches the Rfam family "Bacterial small subunit ribosomal RNA", at positions 338 to 795 of the family's 1533-position model. The record is from RNAcentral.